Molecule: ribosomal RNA, 253 nt
Filed under: uncultured bacterium
Lineage: Bacteria
Description: partial 16S ribosomal RNA
Rfam family: Bacterial small subunit ribosomal RNA
Source: RNAcentral
UACGUAGGGCGCAAGCGUUAUCCGGAAUUAUUGGGCGUAAAGAGCUCGUAGGCGGUUUGUCGCGUCUGCCGUGAAAGUCCGGGGCUCAACUCCGGAUCUGCGGUGGGUACGGGCAGACUAGAGUGAUGUAGGGGAGACUGGAAUUCCUGGUGUAGCGGUGAAAUGCGCAGAUAUCAGGAGGAACACCGAUGGCGAAGGCAGGUCUCUGGGCAUUAACUGACGCUGAGGAGCGAAAGCAUGGGGAGCGUACAGG